CCGUGGCACUGUCAAGUCAUCAGACGCGGUGAUUGCGAGGCCUGUGGGAAAGUACAAAAGCCUGAGCUAGAUUACCCCUCUCAUCGAGCCCGCCUGUGUGGCACCUGUUUCUUAUCACCCCACUAAGUUCCCGCCUCACAGGGUAGUCUGCCUAGCUAUUAAUCCUAUAUAUAGCCAGUGCCUCCACCCCCGAGAGAGAGACUGAAGCACGAAAGGAGCCGCGGAGAGCGGACCGGUAGAGGCUUCGGGGCAGACUGUAUAAGGAGAGAAUAAAGAAAAGCCUGACCACCGCCAGACCUUGUCGUGUGUCUUUCCUGCCGGCCGGGAGCGACAUCGACAUUUGGUGGCCCGCACGGGGAUUGAUCAACCCCGAGACACGGCGGUGGACUGCAUUCUCCUACACAGUGCUGCAGCUGCAGGACAGGAAUCGGGACGAGAGCCAAUGUGGGUCCCAGAGAGGUUGACGCGACAAGUCCCUCGACUGAAGAUCAGGCCUGUUCCACCAGAGGCCAACCGCAGACCCAACAACAAGAUGAGCCCUAAAAGAACUGCAGGACAAUCCCUUUUUGGGGGCCUGGAACGGCUUGCUCCCCUAUGUGCUACCCUUGUAUACGCAUGGCUCGCUCGCAUGGCCUACGACCGCAUUUAAAAGUGACAGGCUUCCCACAUUCUCCUCCCUAGACAACAACAUGUAGCAGGGUGGGUGAGUCAAUGACGGGUAAGAGCGUGCCUCCCCAGCACGACUCAACCUAAGCCAGGCCCUACCCCGUUCCGCUCGAAAGCCGCUGGAUUGUUAGAUAAAUUUCUCUCUGAGGGGAUUCGUGGAGAGAAAUGAGUGCAUGCCUAUGUGCAACCAGCUUCCGUCCGGUUCAUUCCUGGCCCUAGAAAAAAGGACGAGGGCCUCAAGGCCUUGGUGGACCCUGGGACGGCCGACCAGGGUCUACGCUAAGGGCCUACGGUGGGCCUCAGUUCGGGGCAUAGGCCUCUGCACUCUAUCCAGGACGGGCUGCGAUGCGCGUAGCCAUCAUUUAAAAUAAAAUAGGGGGAGAUGUUGGGAGCCGUGGCACUGUCAAGUCAUCAGACGCGGUGAUUGCGAGGCCUGUGGGAAAGUACAAAAGCCUGAGCUAGAUUACCCCUCUCAUCGAGCCCGCCUGUGUGGCACCUGUUUCUUAUCACCCCACUAAGUUCCCGCCUCACAGGGUAGUCUGCCUAGCUAUUAAUCCUAUAUAUAGCCAGUGCCUCCACCCCCGAGAGAGAGACUGAAGCACGAAAGGAGCCGCGGAGAGCGGACCGGUAGAGGCUUCGGGGCAGACUGUAUAAGGAGAGAAUAAAGAAAAGCCUGACCACCGCCA
Cavia porcellus (domestic guinea pig) is the source of this 1352-nucleotide long non-coding RNA. RefSeq lists it as uncharacterized. The record is from RefSeq and is a predicted model, not a curated record. The transcript has 2 exons. Lineage: Eukaryota; Metazoa; Chordata; Mammalia; Rodentia; Caviidae.